This 253-nucleotide ribosomal RNA is filed under the name uncultured bacterium. Its description in RNAcentral is "partial 16S ribosomal RNA". It matches the Rfam family "Bacterial small subunit ribosomal RNA", at positions 524 to 776 of the family's 1533-position model. The record is from RNAcentral.
UACGUAGGGGGCGAGCGUUGUCCGGAUUUAUUGGGCGUAAAGAGCGUGUAGGCGGCCAUGUAGGUCCGUUGUGAAAACUCGAGGCUCAACCUCGAGACGCCGAUGGAAACCAUGUGGCUAGAGUCCGGAAGAGGAGAGUGGAAUUCCUGGUGUAGCGGUGAAAUGCGCAGAUAUCAGGAGGAACACCCGUGGCGAAAGCGGCUCUCUGGGACGGUACUGACGCUGAGACGCGAAAGCGUGGGGAGCAAACAGG